UCCGAGGCCGAGUCCGGCAAGAGGCUGGCGCAGGUGGUGGCGGAACCCAGCCUGACCAAGUCCGGCGUGUACUGGAGCUGGAACAAGGACUCGGCGUCGUUCGAGAACCAGCUCUCGCAGGAGGCCAGCGACCCCGAGAAGGCCCGCAAGGUCUGGGAGCUCAGCGAGAAGCUCGUCGGACUCGCCUGAUCUCCGGCCAGGUCCGGGCAAUGCAUGCAUCUAGGACUCCGAUGCCGAACUUGUCGCAUUAUUUAACGUUGGUAAUUAUCACUUUUACUCCUUUUUAGAAACUCAAUUACGCGGGAAAGGCCUUGCAGUGUCGGCGAGAGUGCAUAGAUCUCGUGUGGAAGAUGUACAAUUUUCGGCCAACCAUGAAUAAUAAAACCGCAGGCCUAAUUGAGGAUGACAUAUAUUGUGAUC
This 420-nucleotide long non-coding RNA is filed under the name Triticum aestivum (bread wheat). Its description in RNAcentral is "long non-coding RNA (TAES_LNC023352)". The record is from RNAcentral. Lineage: Eukaryota; Viridiplantae; Streptophyta; Magnoliopsida; Poales; Poaceae.